RNAcentral lists this microRNA precursor (124 nucleotides) under Hordeum vulgare. RNAcentral describes it as "microRNA MIR1122". It matches the Rfam family "MIR1120/MIR1122 microRNA precursor family". The record is from RNAcentral. Lineage: Eukaryota; Viridiplantae; Streptophyta; Magnoliopsida; Poales; Poaceae.
UUAGUACUUCCUCCGUCCGGAAAUACUUGUCGUAGCAAUGGAUGUAUCUACUUGUAUUUUAGUUCUAGAUACAUCCAUUUAUAUCAUUUUUGUGACAAGUAAUUCCGGACGGAGGGAGUAUAAA